Molecule: long non-coding RNA, 1679 nt
Organism: Tympanuchus pallidicinctus (lesser prairie-chicken)
Lineage: Eukaryota; Metazoa; Chordata; Aves; Galliformes; Phasianidae
Exons: 4
Source: RefSeq, a predicted model, not a curated record
GUCCGAGUAGUAUAAACUUAGAGCCUUUUGGUGGAUGCGGUGUCGAUUGAAACAUUGUGGCAAGCAGAGGCGAGCCACGGAAAAUAGGCUGCCCAGAUAUGAGGGACUCUGGUGGUGAAAAGGAGUCCCUCAGGACUUUAUUUCAGAAAUGCUUAUAUUGACUAGAUCUUAUGGUCAUCGUGCUUUGGGCUUUUGUUUUUUUUUCUUCUCAACUUUAUUCCUAAAAUUUACAAAAAGUCUACUAAAAUACUGGGGAAAUGACUCAUUCAUUCUGUUGGCAUAAUCAGUUUUGUGCAAGCUUUGAAGAGAUAUGGUUCUUGAUGUUAUAAGUUUGUGGUUUAACAUUUAUUCCUUCAGCUGGUGACUGUUUUGUGUCUGUUUCAGAUAGAGCUUUCUGUUGGUUGUGUCCUUACAGUUUCUGUCUUAGUGCUUUCUGUUAACUACAGUUUUGUAGUAUACAAUGAAACAGUGAAUGGAGGCUUGAAAUUGUGAAGGGAUGCUGGAAAAUGAAAGACAUGCAUGCUUUGCUGCACUAAAAUCUUAACUGAAAUCUUACUCUAGGUUAUCUAUUCCCAGGAGAAGAACCUCAUCUGGAUUGGGGUGUGCCUUAAGCCUGCAGUGUUUAACUUGCUGCUGAUAUAAUUCAGAAUCUAGAUUCUGGCUCAGUUUAGAAUAAAACUCACGCUGGUAUGAGGGAAUUAUUUAGCUAGUGUUUUUCUGUGACCCUUACCACAAUUAAUCCUGUAGCAGUAGAAAGCUUUUUUCUAAAACAAAAAGACUAGGAAAAAAAAUUCUAGGGCAGAUGGACCACAUGAGAUAAUGCAUUGUAGAGUGUGAAUGGGUGCGGAGUUGAUGAGAAGAAAAGCAGCAUAAGGCAAACUAUAGGCAGAUCAAAGUAAUUGGUUUGAGUACCUCUGCACACCACAAAGUGGAGGAGGGACUUCCCUCUUCAGUGUGUUGGCUCCUGGUGAUAUUCUUGUAUUCCUGUUUUGCCUCUGUACUACUUCCAAUUAUACCUUAACUUUCCCUGUCCGAUCUUGCUGGUCUGAUGAUCCCUUGUAGAUAUUCUGCUGUCAUCUUCAGCCCAGUUUAGCUGAAAUACAAAUCUUUGCUUGCUCUUUCACGCUGACUGGUGACUGGAAACCAUACUAUUUGCUUUAUUCUGGAUUUGUAGUUUUGUUGCUGUUCUUAUUCAGUAUGAGAAGUGAUUGGAAGGAGAGAAGUAGCAUUUCCUACAGAGGAGGGUGACAGGGUGAAACUUAGUCCAGCUGAAGUUAAGAGGGGGAAAAUAAACAAGAAGUCAUAGAAGAAGCCAGCUGAAAAGUGACAAGGACUGACUUAAUCAGAGACAGAUCUCUCUGCUGCCCUUGUUCCCCACCCAGGAAAUCUGUUUUGCUGGUCCACCAUAGUCAUCAAGGAAAGAAAUGCUUUCCACUGAUAAACCUCAAGGCUAGUGAAAAGAAAGGGAAUAAUUUAAAGAUAUUGCAGAAGCUGGCAGGAGGGUUAAGUGGUACAUUUGUUCUCCAUUCACUUGUUUGUCCCACAAGAGACAAUUUCUUAUCAUGUUAUUGAAGAUUAUUUCCCGGGAUGUUUUCAAUUUCUUUUAAAACCCUUAACCCUUAUUCUCCAUGCCAAUGGAUACAAAUUAAAACAAGCAUCUUGUCAAGCAUCCUGUCCUC